RNAcentral lists this ribosomal RNA (495 nucleotides) under uncultured bacterium. RNAcentral's name for it is "partial 16S ribosomal RNA". It matches the Rfam family "Bacterial small subunit ribosomal RNA", at positions 30 to 507 of the family's 1533-position model. The record is from RNAcentral.
AUUGAACGCUGGCGGCGUGCCUAAUACAUGCAAGUAGAACGCUGAAGGAGGAGCUUGCUUCUCCGGAUGAGUUGCGAACGGGUGAGUAACGCGUAGGUAACCUGCCUGGUAGCGGGGGAUAACUAUUGGAAACGAUAGCUAAUACCGCAUAACAGUAGAUGUUGCAUGACAUUUGCUUAAAAGGUGCAAUUGCAUCACUACCAGAUGGACCUGCGUUGUAUUAGCUAGUUGGUGAGGUAACGGCUCACCAAGGCGACGAUACAUAGCCGACCUGAGAGGGUGAUCGGCCACACUGGGACUGAGACACGGCCCAGACUCCUACGGGAGGCAGCAGUAGGGAAUCUUCGGCAAUGGACGGAAGUCUGACCGAGCAACGCCGCGUGAGUGAAGAAGGUUUUCGGAUCGUAAAGCUCUGUUGUAAGAGAAGAACGAGUGUGAGAGUGGAAAGUUCACACUGUGACGGUAGCUUACCAGAAAGGGACGGCUAACUACGUG